CGGGUGAGUAACGCGUGGAUAACCUGCCUCAUACAGGGGGAUAACAGUUAGAAAUGACUGCUAAUACCGCAUAAGCACACGGGAGCGCAUGCUUCCGGGUGAAAAGCUCCGGCGGUAUGAGAUGGAUCCGCGUCUGAUUAGCUGGUUGGCGGGGUAACGGCCCACCAAGGCGACGAUCAGUAGCCGGCCUGAGAGGGUGAACGGCCACAUUGGGACUGAGACACGGCCCAAACUCCUACGGGAGGCAGCAG
Molecule: ribosomal RNA, 251 nt
Filed under: uncultured bacterium
Lineage: Bacteria
Description: partial 16S ribosomal RNA
Rfam family: Bacterial small subunit ribosomal RNA
Source: RNAcentral